AACGCGAAGAACCUUACCAACCCUUGACAUGGCAGGACCGCUGGAGAGAUUCAGCUUUCUCGUAAGAGACCUGCACACAGGUGCUGCAUGGCUGUCGUCAGCUCGUGUCGUGAGAUGUUCGGUUAAGUCCGGCAACGAGCGCAACCCACGUCCCUAGUUGCCAGCAUUCAGUUGGGCACUCUAUGGAAACUGCCGAUGAUAAGUCGGAGGAAGGUGUGGAUGACGUCAAGUCCUCAUGGCCCUUACGGGUUGGGCUACACACGUGCUACAAUGGUGGUGACAGUGGGUUAAUCCCCAAAAGCCAUCUCAGUUCGGAUUGUCCUCUGCAACUCGAGGGCAUGAAGUGGAAUCGCUAGUAAUCGCG
Molecule: ribosomal RNA, 364 nt
Filed under: uncultured Paracoccus sp.
Lineage: Bacteria; Pseudomonadati; Pseudomonadota; Alphaproteobacteria; Rhodobacterales; Paracoccaceae
Description: bacterial SSU rRNA
Rfam family: Bacterial small subunit ribosomal RNA
Source: RNAcentral